Molecule: ribosomal RNA, 445 nt
Filed under: uncultured bacterium
Lineage: Bacteria
Description: SSU rRNA
Rfam family: Bacterial small subunit ribosomal RNA
Source: RNAcentral
AGAGCGAACGCUGGCGGCAGGCCUAAUACAUGCAAGUCGAACGGAUCCUUCGGGAUUAGUGGCGGACGGGUGAGUAACACGUGGGAACGUGCCCUUUGGUUCGGAACAACUCAGGGAAACUUGAGCUAAUACCGGAUAAGCCCUUUUGGGAAAGAUUUAUCGCCAUUGGAGCGGCCCGCGUCUGAUUAGCUAGUUGGUGGGGUAAAGGCCCACCAAGGCUACGAUCAGUAGCUGGUCUGAGAGGAUGAUCAGCCACACUGGGACUGAGACACGGCCCAGACUCCUACGGGAGGCAGCAGUAGGGAAUCUUGCGCAAUGGGCGAAAGCCUGACGCAGCCAUGCCGCGUGAAUGAUGAAGGUCUUAGGAUUGUAAAAUUCUUUCAGCGGGGACGAUAAUGACGGUACCCGCAGAAGAAGCCCCGGCUAACUUCGUGCCAGCAGCCGC